This 1366-nucleotide ribosomal RNA is filed under the name uncultured bacterium. RNAcentral describes it as "16S ribosomal RNA". It matches the Rfam family "Bacterial small subunit ribosomal RNA". The record is from RNAcentral.
AGAGUUUGAUCCUGGCUCAGGACGAACGCUGGCGGCGUGCUUAACACAUGCAAGUCGAACGGUCGUAGCAAUACGAUAGUGGCGGACGGGUGAGUAACACGUGAACAAUCUGCCUUAUACAGGGGGAUAACACUGAGAAAUCAGUGCUAAUACCGCAUAAGACCACAGUGCCGCAUGGUACAGUGGUAAAAGGGUUACCGGUAUAAGAUGAGUUCGCGUCCCAUUAGGUAGUUGGUGAGGUAACGGCCCACCAAGCCCGCGAUGGGUAGCCGACCUGAGAGGGUGAUCGGCCACACUGGAACUGAGAUACGGUCCAGACUCCUACGGGAGGCAGCAGUGGGGAAUAUUGGGCAAUGGAGGAAACUCUGACCCAGCAACGCCGCGUGAGUGAAGAAGGUCUUCGGAUUGUAAAGCUCUGUGGAUAGGAAUGAAAAAAAUGACAGUACCUAUAGAGCAAGCCACGGCAAACUACGUGCCAGCAGCCGCGGUAAUACGUAGGUGGCAAGCGUUGUCCGGAAUGACUGGGCGUAAAGGGUGCGUAGGUGGCUGAUCAAGUUAGAAGUGUAAUACCUGGGCUUAACCUGGGUGCUACUUCUAAGACUGAUUAGCUUGAGUGUGGGAGAGGUAAGCGGAAUUCCUAGUGUAGCGGUGGAAUGCGUAGAUAUUAGGAGGAACACCAGCGGCGAAGGCGGCUUACUGGACCAUAACUGACACUGAGGCACGAAAGCGUGGGGUAGCAAACAGGAUUAGAUACCCUGGUAGUCCACGCUGUAAACUAUGGAUACUAGGUGUAGGGGGUAUGGACUCCCCCUGUGCCGUCGCAAAACGCAAUAAGUAUCCCGCCUGGGGAGUACGGUCGCAAGACUAAAACUCAAAGGAAUUGACGGGGACCCGCACAAGCAGCGGAGCAUGUGGUUUAAUUCGAAGCACGCGAAGAACCUUACCUAGACUUGACAUCUCCUGCAUUACUCUUAAUCGAGGAAGUCCCUUCGGGGACAGGAAGACAGGUGGUGCAUGGUUGUCGUCAGCUCGUGUCGUGAGAUGUUGGGUUAAGUCCCGCAACGAGCGCAACCCUUAUUGUUAGUUGCUACCAUUUAGUUGAGCACUCUAGCGAGACUGCCCGGGUUAACCGGGAGGAAGGUGGGGAUGACGUCAAAUCAUCAUGCCCCUUAUGUCUAGGGCUACACACGUGCUACAAUGGCUGGUACAGAGAGAUGCGAAACCGCGAGGUGGAGCUAAACUUCAAAACCAGUCUCAGUUCGGAUUGUAGGCUGAAACUCGCCUACAUGAAGCUGGAGUUGCUAGUAAUCGCGAAUCAGCAUGUCGCGGUGAAUACGAUCCCGGGCCUUGUACACACCGCCCGUCA